GAUCCUGGCUCAGGACGAACGCUGGCGGCGUGCCUAACACAUGCAAGUCGAACGGGGCUAGGAAAGCUUGCUUUCCGAAGCCUAGUGGCGGACGGGUGAGUAACGCGUGAGUAACCUGCCUUUCAGAGGGGAAUAACGUUCUGAAAAGAACGCUAAUACCGCAUAACGUACAGUUACCGCAUGGUAGCAGUACCAAGGGAGCAAUCCGCUGAAAGAUGGACUCGCGUCCGAUUAGCUAGUUGGUGGGGUAAAGGCCU
This 257-nucleotide ribosomal RNA is filed under the name uncultured bacterium. RNAcentral describes it as "partial 16S ribosomal RNA". It matches the Rfam family "Bacterial small subunit ribosomal RNA", at positions 15 to 266 of the family's 1533-position model. The record is from RNAcentral.